GACGAACGCUGGCGGCGUGCCUAACACAUGCAAGUCGAGCGAAUGAAGUUCCUUCGGGAAUGGAUUUAGCGGCGGACGGGUGAGUAACACGUGGGCAACCUGCCUCAUAGAGGGGAAUAGCCUUCCGAAAGGGAGAUUAAUACCGCAUAAGAUUGUAGUAUCGCAUGAUACAGCAAUUAAAGGAGCAAUCCGCUAUGAGAUGGGCCCGCGGCGCAUUAGCUAGUUGGUGAGGUAACGGCUCACCAAGGCGACGAUGCGUAGCCGACCUGAGAGGGUGAUCGGCCACAUUGGGACUGAGACACGGCCCAGACUCCUACGGGAGGCAGCAGUGGGGAAUAUUGCACAAUGGGGGAAACCCUGAUGCAGCAACGCCGCGUGAGUGAUGACGGCCUUCGGGUCGUAAAGCUCUGUCUUCAGGGACGAUAAUGACGGUACCUGAGGAGGAAGCCACGGCUAACUACGUG
This 464-nucleotide ribosomal RNA is filed under the name uncultured bacterium. Its description in RNAcentral is "partial 16S ribosomal RNA". It matches the Rfam family "Bacterial small subunit ribosomal RNA", at positions 28 to 507 of the family's 1533-position model. The record is from RNAcentral.